RNAcentral lists this ribosomal RNA (1208 nucleotides) under Vibrio mimicus. Its description in RNAcentral is "partial 23S ribosomal RNA". It matches the Rfam family "Bacterial large subunit ribosomal RNA", at positions 1 to 1258 of the family's 2925-position model. Lineage: Bacteria; Pseudomonadati; Pseudomonadota; Gammaproteobacteria; Vibrionales; Vibrionaceae. The record is from RNAcentral.
GUUGUAUGGUUAAGUGACUAAGCGUACACGGUGGAUGCCUGGGCAGUCAGAGGCGAUGAAGGACGUACUAACUUGCGAUAAGCGCAGAUAAGGCAGUAAGAGCCGUUUGAGUCUGCGAUUUCCGAAUGGGGAAACCCAACUGCAUAAGCAGUUACUGUUAACUGAAUCCAUAGGUUAACAGAGCAAACCGGGGGAACUGAAACAUCUAAGUACCCCGAGGAGAAGAAAUCAACCGAGAUUCCGGUAGUAGCGGCGAGCGAACCUGGAUUAGCCCUUAAGCACUCGUUGAAGUAGGUGAACAAGCUGGAAAGCUUGGCGAUACAGGGUGAUAGCCCCGUAACCGACGCUUCAUCGAGCGUGAAAUCGAGUAGGGCGGGACACGUGAUAUCCUGUCUGAAUAUGGGGGGACCAUCCUCCAAGGCUAAAUACUCCUGACUGACCGAUAGUGAACCAGUACCGUGAGGGAAAGGCGAAAAGAACCCCUGUGAGGGGAGUGAAAUAGAACCUGAAACCGUGUACGUACAAGCAGUAGGAGCACCUUCGUGGUGUGACUGCGUACCUUUUGUAUAAUGGGUCAGCGACUUAUAUUCAGUGGCAAGGUUAACCGUAUAGGGGAGCCGUAGCGAAAGCGAGUCUUAACUGGGCGUUCAGUCUCUGGAUAUAGACCCGAAACCGGGUGAUCUAGCCAUGGGCAGGUUGAAGGUUGAGUAACAUCAACUGGAGGACCGAACCGACUAAUGUUGAAAAAUUAGCGGAUGACUUGUGGCUAGGGGUGAAAGGCCAAUCAAACUCGGAGAUAGCUGGUUCUCCCCGAAAGCUAUUUAGGUAGCGCCUCGGACGAAUACUACUGGGGGUAGAGCACUGUUAAGGCUAGGGGGUCAUCCCGACUUACCAACCCUUUGCAAACUCCGAAUACCAGUAAGUACUAUCCGGGAGACACACGGCGGGUGCUAACGUCCGUCGUGGAGAGGGAAACAACCCAGACCGCCAGCUAAGGUCCCAAAGUAUUGCUAAGUGGGAAACGAUGUGGGAAGGCUCAGACAGCUAGGAUGUUGGCUUAGAAGCAGCCAUCAUUUAAAGAAAGCGUAAUAGCUCACUAGUCGAGUCGGCCUGCGCGGAAGAUGUAACGGGGCUAAGCAAUACACCGAAGCUGCGGCAAUAUCUUUUAGAUAUUGGGUAGGGGAGCGUUCUGUAAGCCGUUGAAGGUG